RNAcentral lists this ribosomal RNA (767 nucleotides) under uncultured Campylobacterota bacterium. RNAcentral describes it as "bacterial SSU rRNA". It matches the Rfam family "Bacterial small subunit ribosomal RNA", at positions 728 to 1501 of the family's 1533-position model. The record is from RNAcentral. Lineage: Bacteria; Pseudomonadati; Campylobacterota.
UCUGGAACACUACUGACGCUGAGGCGCGAAAGCGUGGGGAGCAAACAGGAUUAGAUACCCUGGUAGUCCACGCCCUAAACGAUGAAUGUUAGUCGUCGGACAGCUUGUCUGUUCGGUGAUGCAGCUAACGCAUUAAACAUUCCGCCUGGGGAGUACGGUCGCAAGAUUAAAACUCAAAGGAAUAGACGGGGACCCGCACAAGUGGUGGAGCAUGUGGUUUAAUUCGAAGAUACGCGAAGAACCUUACCUAGCCUUGACAUAUAUGAGAACUCCGCAGAGAUGCAGAGGUGCCUUCGGGAGCUUUUAUACAGGUGCUGCACGGCUGUCGUCAGCUCGUGUCGUGAGAUGUUGGGUUAAGUCCCGCAACGAGCGCAACCCUCGUCACUAGUUACUAACGGUUAGGCCGAGGACUUUAGUGAGACUGCCUUCGUAAGGAGGAGGAAGGUGAGGACGACGUCAAGUCAUCAUGGCCCUUACGGCUAGGGCAACACACGUGCUACAAUGGCCAGGACAAUGAGACGCAAUACCGCGAGGUGGAGCAAAUCUAUAAACCUGGUCUCAGUUCGGAUUGUAGUCUGCAACUCGACUACAUGAAGCUGGAAUCACUAGUAAUCGUAGAUCAGCUAUGCUACGGUGAAUACGUUCCCGGGUCUUGUACUCACCGCCCGUCACACCAUGGGAGUCGAUUUCACCCGAAGCGGGGAAGCUAAACUGGCUACCCUCCACGGUGGAAUUAGCGACUGGGGUGAAGUCGUAACAAGGUAACC